Molecule: ribosomal RNA, 392 nt
Filed under: uncultured bacterium
Lineage: Bacteria
Description: partial 16S ribosomal RNA
Rfam family: Bacterial small subunit ribosomal RNA
Source: RNAcentral
AUACGGAGGAUCCGAGCGUUAUCCGGAUUUAUUGGGUUUAAAGGGUGCGCAGGCGGCCAUUUAAGUCAGCGGUUAAAUCGUGGGGCUCAACCCCAUUCUGCCGUUGAUACUGGGUGGCUUGAUUGCGGUCGAGGUUGGCGGAAUUCGUUGUGUAGCGGUGAAAUGCAUAGAUAUGACGAAGAACACCGAUUGCGUAGGCAGCUGACCAGACCGCAAAUGACGCUCAUGCACGAAAGUGCGGGGAUCGAACAGGAUUAGAUACCCUGGUAGUCCGCACAGUAAACGAUGAAUACUUGUUUUCGGCGAUAUAAUGUCGGAGGGAAAGCGAAAGCGAUAAGUAUUCCACCUGGGGAGUACGCCGGCAACGGUGAAACUCAAAUGAAUUGACGGGG